AUUGAACGCUGGCGGCAGGCCUAACACAUGCAAGUCGAGCGGAUGAAGGGAGCUUGCUCCUGGAUUCAGCGGCGGACGGGUGAGUAAUGCCUAGGAAUCUGCCUGGUAGUGGGGGAUAACGUCCGGAAACGGGCGCUAAUACCGUAUACGUCCUGAGGGAGAAAGUGGGGGAUCUUCGGACCUCACGCUAUCAGAUGAGCCUAGGUCGGAUUAGCUAGUUGGUGGGGUAAAGGCCUACCAAGGCGACGAUCCGUAACUGGUCUGAGAGGAUGAUCAGUCACACUGGAACUGAGACACGGUCCAGACUCCUACGGGAGGCAGCAGUGGGGAAUACUGGACAAUGGGCGAAAGCCUGAUCCAGCCAUGCCGCGUGUGUGAAGAAGGUCUUCGGAUUGUAAAGCACUUUAAGUUGGGAGGAAGGGCAGUAAGUUAAUACCUUGCUGUUUUGACGUUACCAACAGAAUAAGCACCGGCUAACUUCGUG
Molecule: ribosomal RNA, 484 nt
Filed under: uncultured bacterium
Lineage: Bacteria
Description: partial 16S ribosomal RNA
Rfam family: Bacterial small subunit ribosomal RNA
Source: RNAcentral